UGUUGCGACAGCGCGUGCGCAGACUACAUGCGGACAAGUAUUUAUUUUAGCUUCUUGUGCUACAUACAGCCAUAUGCUGCCCUUGUGGGCCAUAAAACUGAAAGAAGAGCUUUUUAUAUCAGUUCAUUCACAUUAAAACGCGUAGUUUAGCUCUUGUCUAUAAUGGCGAAGGACGGUGCAGCGAAACUGUCCAAAAAUCUCCUGCGGAUGAAGUUCAUGCAGAGAGGUUUGGACGCAGAGCUGAAGAAGCAGCUGGAUGAGGAGGAGAAGAGGAUCAUCAGUGAUGAACACUGGUUCCUGGACCUUCCUGAGCUCAAGGCCAAAGAGUGAGACCUGACUGACAUCUCACUGAUAUCCUGUCCUCAGAAAACUAUAUUUAGAUUCCUAAUGUCUUAAUAGCAUUGUGUGACGUAACAAAUAUCUAUGGAAGCCCAUUUCCGCCACAAAAGG
Long non-coding RNA from Sinocyclocheilus grahami, 450 nucleotides. RefSeq lists it as uncharacterized. NCBI's taxonomy places the organism in Eukaryota, Metazoa, Chordata, Actinopteri, Cypriniformes, Cyprinidae. The record is from RefSeq and is a predicted model, not a curated record. The transcript is spliced from 2 exons.